Molecule: ribosomal RNA, 252 nt
Filed under: uncultured Bacteroidales bacterium
Lineage: Bacteria; Pseudomonadati; Bacteroidota; Bacteroidia; Bacteroidales
Description: partial 16S ribosomal RNA
Rfam family: Bacterial small subunit ribosomal RNA
Source: RNAcentral
UACGGAGGAUGCGAGCGUUAUCCGGAUUUAUUGGGUUUAAAGGGUGCGUAGGCGGAAUAUCAAGUCAGCGGUAAAAAUUCGGGGCUCAACCCCGUCCGGCCGUUGAAACUGGGGGCCUUGAGUGCGCGGAAGGCAGGCGGAAUUCGUGGUGUAGCGGUGAAAUGCUUAGAUAUCACGAAGAACCCCGAUUGCGAAGGCAGCCUGCCGCAGCGUUACUGACGCUGAAGCUCGAAAGCGCGGGUAUCGAACAGG